GGAGGGGUGCCGGAGCGGCUGAACGGGGCGGUCUCGAAAACCGUUGUGUGGGUAACCCCUGCACCGAGGGUUCGAAUCCCUCCCCCUCCG
Molecule: transfer RNA, 90 nt
Filed under: soil metagenome
Also listed under: 1 other name
Rfam family: tRNA
About the family: Transfer RNA (tRNA) molecules are approximately 80 nucleotides in length. Their secondary structure includes four short double-helical elements and three loops (D, anti-codon, and T loops). Further hydrogen bonds mediate the characteristic L-shaped molecular structure. tRNAs have two regions of fundamental functional importance: the anti-codon, which is responsible for specific mRNA codon recognition, and the 3' end, to which the tRNAs corresponding amino acid is attached (by aminoacyl-tRNA synthetases). tRNAs cope with the degeneracy of the genetic code in two manners: having more than one tRNA (with a specific anti-codon) for a particular amino acid; and 'wobble' base-pairing, i.e. permitting non-standard base-pairing at the 3rd anti-codon position.
Source: RNAcentral